RNAcentral lists this ribosomal RNA (432 nucleotides) under uncultured Neochlamydia sp. Its description in RNAcentral is "bacterial SSU rRNA". It matches the Rfam family "Bacterial small subunit ribosomal RNA", at positions 958 to 1392 of the family's 1533-position model. The record is from RNAcentral. Lineage: Bacteria; Pseudomonadati; Chlamydiota; Chlamydiia; Parachlamydiales; Parachlamydiaceae.
AACGCAAGAACCUUACCCCGGCUUGACACGCAGAUGAUCGUUACAGAAAUGUAAUUUCCUUUGGGGGCAUCUGCACGGGUGCUGCAUGGCUGUCGUCAGCUCGUGCCGUGAGGUGUUUGGUUAAGUCCAGCAACGAGCGCAACCCUUAUCAUUAGUUGCCAACAGUUAGGGUGGGAACUCUAAUGAGACUGCCGGGGUUAACCAGGAGGAAGGUGAGGAUGACGUCAAGUCCUCAUGGCCCUUAUGUGUGGGGCUACACACGUGCUACAAUGGUCGGUACAGAAGGCAGCGAAACCGUGAGGCGGAGCAAAUCCCGAAAACCGAUCCCAGUUCAGAUUGUCGUUUGCAACUUGGAUACCAGGAGGUGGAAUUCCUAGUAAUGGUGGGUCAACAACCCCCCCGUGAAUAAUUUCCCGGGUCUUGUACACACCG